AGUGAACGCUGGCGGUAGGCCUAACACAUGCAAGUCGAACGGAAACACAGUCAGAGUUUGCUGUUACGGGGGGCGAAACGCGUGAGGAAGAGGAAUACAACGGAAUCUUCAUUUUCGGGGGGGUUAACGUAGGGGAAGUUACGAUAAUACCGCAUACGACCUAGGGGUGAAGGCGGUGGAACUUCUGACCGUGCGGGAUUGGAUGGGCGGAUGUCGAAUUAGCUAGUUGGCGGGGUAAAGGCCAACCAAGGCGACGAUCCGUAGCUGGUCUGAGAGGAUGAUCAGCCGCACUGGAACUGAGACACGCCCCAUACUCCUAAGGGAGGCAGCAGUGGGGAAUAUUGGAGCAGGGGCGGAAGCCUGUUCCAGACAUACCGCGUGGGUGAAGAAGACCUUCGGGUUGUAAAGGCCGUUUGUUGGGAAAGAAAAGCAGCUGGUUAAUGACCCGCUGUUCUGACGGUACAUAAAGAAUAAGCACCGGCUAACUUCGUG
RNAcentral lists this ribosomal RNA (492 nucleotides) under uncultured bacterium. RNAcentral's name for it is "partial 16S ribosomal RNA". It matches the Rfam family "Bacterial small subunit ribosomal RNA", at positions 29 to 507 of the family's 1533-position model. The record is from RNAcentral.